UACAGAGGUCCCAAGCGUUGUUCGGAUUCAUUGGGCGUAAAGGGUGCGUAGGCGGGUCUUUAAGUCAGGGGUGAAAUCCUGGAGCUCAACUCCAGAACUGCCCUUUGAUACUGAGGAUCUUGAGUUCGGGAGAGGUGAGUGGAAACUGCGAGUGUAGAGGUGAAAUUCGUAGAUAUUCGCAAGAACACCAGUGGCGAAGGCGGCUCACCUGGCCCGAUACUGACGCUGAGGCACGAAAGCGUGGGGAGCAAACAGGG
Molecule: ribosomal RNA, 257 nt
Filed under: uncultured bacterium
Lineage: Bacteria
Description: partial 16S ribosomal RNA
Rfam family: Bacterial small subunit ribosomal RNA
Source: RNAcentral